UCUACUUCUGGGUAUUUAUCUGAAGAAAUUCCAAAGCGCUCCUUUGAGACGUUACACGCACCCCUAUGUUCAUUACCGCGACCUUUACAAUAGCCAACACGCAGAAACAGCCCAAGUGCCCAUCGUUAGACGAGUGGGUAAAAAGCCCGUGGGACACGCACGCCACGGCCUGUGGCUCUCCCAGGAACAAGAAGGGAAUGACGCCCGUGGGACAGCAUGGCAGGCCCAGAGGGCACUGCGCUGAGUGAAAUAAGGCGGCUCCUCUUACCUGUUCUGCUAAACCCGCUCUGACCCGCUCCUGUCCCCCCAGACAGCCGGGUCAUCUUCUUCACCGCCUUCAGCUGCCUCGCCAUCUUCCUCCUCUUCCCCUCGGUCAUCCUCAUCUACAGGCGCAGUCAGCCCGGCUCAUCCCAUGAAGAGUCCGCCAAGAGAACUAGACAUUCCUUUUUUCCCGAGCAGGAGGCCUCAGAUCUGCCCAAGCAGGAAAGGGCAUCGCUCUCGCUCUCGAUUGAAGACCGCCAGGAAGGGACCGGUGCUGAUGGAAACAGCAAGACACCGUCCGAGGCAGCGGCAGCCUCUGUCCCGGCCGAGGAGGCCCCGGGACCUGGUGACUGUGCCACGUUGAACGUGUAGGAGGCUGGCCAGAGCCUGGAGAAAGGACUUCUCCCCUGGGGAGGACGGGCUUUGGGUGCAGGUGGCUGAGACGUCUGGACAGAAAUCCACACCACUCUGUCCUCGGAACAUAAUCCGUACUAAUAAAAUUAAGUUUUUGG
Molecule: long non-coding RNA, 773 nt
Organism: Myotis davidii
Lineage: Eukaryota; Metazoa; Chordata; Mammalia; Chiroptera; Vespertilionidae
Exons: 5
Source: RefSeq, a predicted model, not a curated record